Molecule: ribosomal RNA, 426 nt
Filed under: uncultured Pseudomonadota bacterium
Lineage: Bacteria; Pseudomonadati; Pseudomonadota
Description: bacterial SSU rRNA
Rfam family: Bacterial small subunit ribosomal RNA
Source: RNAcentral
GGGGAAUAUUGGACAAUGGGCGCAAGCCUGAUCCAGCCAUGCCGCGUGGGUGAAGAAGGCCUUCGGGUUGUAAAGCCCUUUUGUUGGGAAAGAAAAGCAGCCGGCCAAUACCCGGUUGUUCUGACGGUACCUUCAAAGGAAGCACCGGCUAACUCCGUGCCAGCAGCCGCGGUAAUACGGAGGGUGCAAGCGUUAAUCGGAAUUACUGGGCGUAAAGCGCACGUAGGCUGCUUUGUAAGUCAGGGGUGAAAUCCCACGGCUCAACCGUGGAACUGCCUUUGAUACUGCUUAGCUUGAAUCCGGGAGAGGGUGGCGGAAUUCCAGGUGUAGGAGUGAAAUCCGUAGAUAUCUGGAGGAACAUCAGUGGCGAAGGCGACUUGCUGGACAUUAACUGACGCUGAGGCGCGAAAGCGUGGGGAGCAAACA